This 456-nucleotide ribosomal RNA is filed under the name uncultured bacterium. RNAcentral's name for it is "bacterial SSU rRNA". It matches the Rfam family "Bacterial small subunit ribosomal RNA", at positions 335 to 784 of the family's 1533-position model. The record is from RNAcentral.
ACUCCUACGGGAGGCAGCAGUGGGGAAUAUUGCACAAUGGGCGCAAGCCUGAUGCAGCCAUGCCGCGUGUGUGAAGAAGGCCUUGGGUUGUAAAGCACUUUCAGUCGUGAGGAAGGUAGUGUAGUUAAUAGCUGCAUUAUUUGUACGUUAGCGACAGAAGAAGCACCGGCUAACUCCGUGCCAGCAGCCGCGGUAAUACGGAGGGUGCGAGCGUUAAUCGGAAUUACGUGGGCGUAAAGCGCAUGCAGGUUGGUUUGUUAAGUCAGAUGUGAAAGCCCGGGGCUCAACCUCGGAAUAGCAUUUGAAACUGGCAGACUAGAGUACUGUAGAGGGGGUAGAAUUUCAGGUGUAGCGGUGAAAUGCGUAGAGAUCUGAAGGAAUACCGGUGGCGAAGGCGGCCCCUGGACAGAUACUGACACUCAGAUGCGAAAGCGUGGGAGCAAACAGGAUUAGAUA